GGGAGAGGGGCUAGGGUUUGGUAAAUUCUCAAUUUGGGGAUUUGUUUGGUGAAGAAGAGUGAGAGAGAGGGGCCGACGAUUUGGUGGGAGGUUGAACGUGAUUGAGGCGACGAAGGUGUUGGGAAGAUGUCGUUAAUAUGUAGUUAGAUAGCCCAAAGUAGUAUGUCUUCAUACAUACUAUUUUGUCUUGAAACCUUCCGCUGCAUUUAAAUGUUGUUCUUGGAUAACUAUGAAUUUGGUUUCAAUACUCUGAUUAUGACUUGACUUUGUACCCAUUCGCCUUCGAGACUAUUCCCUCGAGUUAAUUAUUUCUUUUAUGAUGAGUU
Long non-coding RNA from Salvia splendens (bonfire salvia), 326 nucleotides. RefSeq lists it as uncharacterized. The record is from RefSeq and is a predicted model, not a curated record. The transcript is spliced from 2 exons. NCBI's taxonomy places the organism in Eukaryota, Viridiplantae, Streptophyta, Magnoliopsida, Lamiales, Lamiaceae.